This 666-nucleotide ribosomal RNA is filed under the name Humidicutis sp. 2 DJL-2103. RNAcentral describes it as "eukaryotic LSU rRNA". The stretch from base 237 to 390 matches the Rfam family "5.8S ribosomal RNA". The record is from RNAcentral. Lineage: Eukaryota; Fungi; Basidiomycota; Agaricomycetes; Agaricales; Hygrophoraceae.
UUUAGAGGAAGUAAAAGUCGUAACAAGGUUUCCGUAGGUGAACCUGCGGAAGGAUCAUUAUUGAAAUCGUUCGUGGAAAGGCUGUUGCUGGUCUCUGAUAUCUGUGCACGCCUUUUCCGUUCGCUUCUUCCACACACAACCCAGUGCAUCUUUUGUAGGUUGAGAGAUUGACCUAUGCUUUUUUUAAAAAAUAAUAAUAAUUCAUUCAUUGGAAAGUGCACAUAUAUAUAAAAUACAACUUUCAACAACGGAUCUCUUGGCUCUCGCAUCGAUGAAGAACGCAGCGAAAUGCGAUAAGUAAUGUGAAUUGCAGAAUUCAGUGAAUCAUCGAAUCUUUGAACGCACCUUGCGCUCCUUGGAAUUCCGAGGAGCAUGCCUGUUUGAGUGUCAUGAAACCUUCAAAACCUCUUUUUCUUUCAAAGGGAGAGGGAGGGCUUUGGAUUGUGGAGUUGUGUGCUGGAAAGAGAGGGCAACUCUCAUGUCAGCUCCUCUAAAAUGCAUUAAGCUUUUUGCCUCACACAGACGAGAAAAUAAGAGCUUGUUGGUAUGAUAAUCAUUUGUCUAUGCCCACUUGCCAGUCUGCGUGUGCAGGUAUGCUAACACACAAGAAUCAUCAUCUUUGACCUCAAAUCAGGUAGGAUUACCCGCUGAACUUAAGCAUAUCAA